Molecule: transfer RNA, 76 nt
Filed under: Escherichia coli
Lineage: Bacteria; Pseudomonadati; Pseudomonadota; Gammaproteobacteria; Enterobacterales; Enterobacteriaceae
Description: tRNA-Thr
Rfam family: tRNA
About the family: Transfer RNA (tRNA) molecules are approximately 80 nucleotides in length. Their secondary structure includes four short double-helical elements and three loops (D, anti-codon, and T loops).
Source: RNAcentral
GUCGACUUAGUUCAGCAGGAAGAGCAACUGACUUGUAAUUAUCAGGUCACCAGAUCGAUUCCGGUAGUCGACACCA